Pantherophis guttatus is the source of this 706-nucleotide long non-coding RNA. RefSeq lists it as uncharacterized. NCBI's taxonomy places the organism in Eukaryota, Metazoa, Chordata, Lepidosauria, Squamata, Colubridae. The record is from RefSeq and is a predicted model, not a curated record.
GCAGUUUAUAGUUUGCUGGUUGUAUCCUUGCCAACCCGGAAUAUGGCAUCUCUUGGCUUAAGCAGGUCAUGUGAACGCAGCCAUUCGUUCCCCAAACUUGGCGGGGGGGGGGGGAAGGAGGCUUGGCAUCUGCGGAGGACCUGAAUACUUCUUGCUUCGCAGGGAGAUCAAAGAUGGAAGUUCAAAAGACGGCAGAGUUUUCAGGAAGGUGCAGUUUGCAAAUCGUUGCCUAAACACCACCUGCAGCUUCGAGAAAGCACCUUCUUUCUCCUGGGUGCCGCACCUGGGCCCAGGUGUGCUGCCUGCCGGUGCUUCCCUUCCAGCUGGCCCCUCCCUGCCCAAGGCAGCUUCCCAUGACCAUCGAGCUAAUCCACCCAAGGACAUUCCCAUGGUGCCAGAGGUCUCCCUGUCGUCACCUCCAUCCGGGCCAGCUGACCGAUAGGCAUCAGCACCUCCAUCACCACGCGAUCCAAAUUCAGACGCUUGGCAGCUGACUCGCAUUUACGACGGUGGCAGUGUCGUAAAUGCGGAGCGACCCCCCCCAUUGACCAGGCAUCUUGCUUAGCAACGGAAUAUUUGGGGCUCCGUCGUGGCCGUACUUUGCAAGAUAGUCUGAGGACACGAUCCAGCCACGCCGUGGGGUUUCCUUGGCAAGAACGGAAUUGUCAUUUUUCAGGGUAACAUUUGUCCGGUGACUUCAUGAAAA